UUUUUUUUUUUUUUUUUUUCUGGAGACGGACUCUCGCUCUGUUGCCAGGCUGAAGUGCAGUCAUGUGAUCUCAGCUCACUGCAACCUCCGCCUCCCGGGUUCAAGCAAUUCUCCUGCCUCAGCCUCUUGAGUAACUGGGAUUACAGGCGUGCGCCACCACGCCCGGCUAAUUGUUUUAUUUUUAGUAGAGAUGGGGUUUCACCAUGUUGGCCAGGAUGGUCUCAAACUCCUGACCUUGUGAUCCGCCCACCUCGGCCUCCCAAAGUGCUGGGAUUACAGGCGUGAGCCACCGUGCCUGGCCUCUCCACCUUUUUUGCAUCUAUCAAUGCCCCUAGCUCUCUAGCAGCAGCUGUGCAAACACCAGGAGGGCCCAAAGGGGUCUUGGUAAGACACUUUUCAGGGCACUGCGGCAGUGCUAUGGUCCCGUGGUCAGGAGACCUGCAGCCUGUCAGUAACUGACAGUGUGACCUUGAGCAAGAUCAACUCUCUGGCUUGCCUCCUCUUAUCAAAUGGCACAACUAUUUCAGCUUAGAAGGUUGUUGUCAGGUUACAAUGAAAAAGCAUAAUGACUUUUUAAAAAAUGACUCAACUUGAUAAAAAUACAAAAUACUGCCUUUAUUCAAAAUGAGGCAGAGAUGAAUAAGGAGGGAAUUUUGUCCCAGUUAAAUAUUUAUUCCAUUUAAACUACUCAAAGUCCAGUUGUCCCAAUAAUUAAUAAUUUUCACUUCCCCAAACCACCAAGCAAGGUGCACUGUCAUUCUCACCUGCGGGACCUAUGUUUCCCAUUCCGAUGCCUUUAUUCAGGUGAUUGGCAUCAAUGGGUUGCCCUCCUGGUCCUAACCCCAUGCCAAUACCACCAAGGCCAUCUGGAAAGAAAAGAGAAAGAAGCUUAGUUUUCCCCUAUUUAGCAAACCUUGACCCUCAAAGGAAAAGAGUGUUUAGUGAGUUGCAGCUAUCCACUUCAGCCUACCCACCCCCACCCACCAGUGACCUCAGGGCCCAAUGCAAAAUUCAACAUCGGCACACUUGGAAACAGAGCCUUGUUCCGGCGUUUGGGAUAUGUGUGUAUACAACAAAGGCGGCUGAAAACCAACACGGGAAAGUUAACAACCCCCACACUAAGAUUCUUGAGAGCCUAUUUGUUUCACUAACCCAUGGACUGAGAACUGUCUGAUCAAAAAAGGUGACUCAAGACAUCAGGUGGCAAGCAGCACAAAUGUGCCCAAUCCCUAGUAGCCCAAAGGAUGUUUCUCAUGAAAAAACACGUUACAAACCAGCCAAUCAACAUCCUGGGUGUCCACUACUCUCUGAAUCUGGGUGGUUUUAGUAACAAUGAAGCUAAUGUAUGUAUUCAAAGAACCUAUCUUCCUUCCCCCAAAGCUUCCCAACCCACAACUGGAUACCCAGCCCACACUCAACUCCAUGCCCUACCAACACAGACAGGGACACAGAAAUACAGGCUGGUCUCUGGAAACAGCCAAAAGAGCUGACACUUGCAAUAUCUGGGGUAACCACCAUCUGAGGCUUAAACUACAACCAGGUAAGCUUUUAAAAAUCGUAACAAGGGCAGGCGCAGUGGCUCACGCCUGAAAUCCCAGCUACUUGGGAGGCUAAGGUGGGAGGGUCACCUGAACCUGGGAGGUUAAGGCUGCAGUGAGCCGUGAUUGCACCAGUGCACUCCAGCCUGGGGAGACUUUGUCUC
RNAcentral lists this long non-coding RNA (1702 nucleotides) under Homo sapiens (human). RNAcentral's name for it is "non-protein coding lnc-KANK3-3:1". The record is from RNAcentral. Lineage: Eukaryota; Metazoa; Chordata; Mammalia; Primates; Hominidae.